RNAcentral lists this ribosomal RNA (460 nucleotides) under uncultured bacterium. RNAcentral's name for it is "partial 16S ribosomal RNA". It matches the Rfam family "Bacterial small subunit ribosomal RNA", at positions 338 to 795 of the family's 1533-position model. The record is from RNAcentral.
CCUACGGGUGGCAGCAGUGAGGAAUAUUGGUCAAUGGACGAGAGUCUGAACCAGCCAAGUAGCGUGAAGGAUGACUGCCCUAUGGGUUGUAAACUUCUUUUAUAUGGGAAUAAAAUGUUCCACGUGUGGGAUUUUGUAUGUACCAUAUGAAUGAGGAUCGGCUAACUCCGUGCCAGCAGCCGCGGUAAUACGGAGGAUCCGAGCGUUAUCCGGAUUUAAUGGGUUUAAAGGGAGCGGAGGGGGAUUGUUAAGUCAGGUGUGAAAGUUUGCGGCUUAACCGUAGAAUUGCAGUUGAAACUGGCAGUCUUGAGUGCAGGAGAGGUAGGCGGAAGUCGUGGUGUAGCGGUGAAAUGCUUAGAUAUCACGAAGAACUCCGAUGGCGAAGGCAGUUCACUGGACUGCAACUGACGCUGAGGCUCGAAAGUGUGGGUAUCAAACAGGAUUAGAUACCCGUGUAGUC